GGAGAGACAGGAAUUCUUUAUUCCAGACAGUAGACCAAUAGACCUUCCUUGAGAAAGCUCCAAGAGUGGAGAGGAUUGAGUGGAGCAAAGGCUUGUGGAGGAGACAGUUUAAGUAUUACCUUCAGGAAAUUCAGUAUGGGAGGGGAUAAGGAAGGGAAACCUCAGCCUGGGCAAAGGCUUGAUACUGAGAGACUUAGAUGCUUCCCUCAGGGCAGCAACAGCCAUAAGGAAGAGCAUUUUAGGCAUAUGGCCCAACUAGGGCGCAAAGGUCCAGAGGUAGGAAGGCUCAGGCAUAUUCAGCCCUUGAGGAUGUUAAUGAAGAGUUAUCAGGCAGAGUGCUGCGGCUCUGCCUUGAGCCCCAUCUUGUCGCUCCAGGUCGUGGGUGAGCCUGUACUGUGUGCUUAGUAAGGGGGAACUGGGCUUCUACAAGGACUCCAAGGGCCCGGCAUCUGGGAGCACACACGGUGGGGAACCGCUGCUCAGCCUGCACAAGGCCACCAGUGAGGUGGCUAGUGACUACAAGAAAAAGAAGCAUGUCUUCAAGCUCCAGACCCAGGAUGGCAGUGAGUUUUUGCUCCAGGCAAAAGAUGAGGAGGAGAUGAACGGCUGGCUGGAGGCUGUGGCUUCCUCCGUGGCGGAACACGCAGAGAUGGCCCGCUGGGGCCAGACACUACCCACUACUUCAUCCACAGAUGAGGGCAACCCUAAGAGGGAAGGCGGAGAUCGCAGGGCCAGUGGGCGCAGGAAGUGACUUCCCAC
RNAcentral lists this small RNA (759 nucleotides) under Pongo abelii (Sumatran orangutan). Its description in RNAcentral is "retained intron". The record is from RNAcentral. Lineage: Eukaryota; Metazoa; Chordata; Mammalia; Primates; Hominidae.